Molecule: ribosomal RNA, 497 nt
Filed under: uncultured bacterium
Lineage: Bacteria
Description: partial 16S ribosomal RNA
Rfam family: Bacterial small subunit ribosomal RNA
Source: RNAcentral
GAUGAACGCUGGCGGCGUGCCUAAUACAUGCAAGUCGAGCGAACAGACGAGGAGCUUGCUCCUCUGACGUUAGCGGCGGACGGGUGAGUAACACGUGGAUAACCUACCUAUAAGACUGGGAUAACUUCGGGAAACCGGAGCUAAUACCGGAUAACAUGUUGAACCGCAUGGUUCAACAGUGAAAGACGGUCUUGCUGUCACUUAUAGAUGGAUCCGCGCCGCAUUAGCUAGUUGGUAAGGUAACGGCUUACCAAGGCAACGAUGCGUAGCCGACCUGAGAGGGUGAUCGGCCACACUGGAACUGAGACGCGGUCCAGACUCCUACGGGGGGCAGCAGUAGGGAAUCUUCCGCAAUGGGCGAAAGCCUGACGGAGCAACGCCGCGUGAGUGAAGAAGGUCUUCGGAUCGUAAAACUCUGUUAUUAGGGAAGAACAAAUGUGUAAGUAACUAUGCACGUCUUGACGGUACCUAAUCAGAAAGCCACGGCUAACUACGUG